Long non-coding RNA from Oreochromis niloticus (Nile tilapia), 2196 nucleotides. RefSeq lists it as uncharacterized. NCBI's taxonomy places the organism in Eukaryota, Metazoa, Chordata, Actinopteri, Cichliformes, Cichlidae. The transcript has 2 exons. The record is from RefSeq and is a predicted model, not a curated record.
UGUUAUAUUUUAGCUUUUAACAUGGAACAUGCCUCUCUGGAGCUUCUCUCCUGAUGCUACCCCGCCAAAGACCCUUAUCCAUAGAGACUAUGUCAGCUCCCAAACAGACAACAACAAACCAAAACUAGCAAUAAACAACCUAAACAUAAACAAUAACAAAGCAAGAACAAUACAGAAUCUACAUCUGAACCGAAGAAUAAAACAGUGAAAUGUGGAUUAUUAAAUAUUAGGUCUCUCUCUUCAAAGUCUCUGUUAGCUCACGCCAAGCGGUCGCAGCAGAUGGCUGCCCGUACCUGAGCGUGGUUCUGGCUGAAGUUUCUUCCUGUUAAAAGGGAGUUUUUCCUUUCCACUGUUGCCAAAGUGGCUAUGCUAUAGUCUGCAAACAAGGAACUGAAUUGAGGUAAAAGAGCAGGGAGAAAUGAAGGACACUCUCAGGCCAAUACCAUGGUUGCAGGAGGAAAUCAGAGAGCGGAUGAAGCCGCAAAGGGAGCAGCAGGCUAUAAAGGACGACAGCAAAUGGUGCAGGUAACCGCUGAAGAAGAGGCAGGUGUCAAUAUGUUGGAGGAGGCCAGACAGGCUCAAGACGAGGCUUCUCUGGAGGAAAAGAGGUGUGGCAGAGCAAAGGAGCCCGAAAAGAGGGUGGUCUUUGGAAAGGAGCCAUGCUGGAGGGGUCCUUACGAGGUCGUUGCCAGGACGACUACAGCAGUUCAACUGAAAGGGAAAGGCGACACCUGGUAUCACUGGUCGCAGUGUGCACCAGCACAUGAGAGCUUGGUUGAGGAAGUCUUCAACCAACACAGGUGUCAACGAACAGAGGCAGAAUAAACCCUCUCACCUGUGCAACGCGCCAACCAGUAGUCUACCUGGAAGGCCGAAGAAAGAAGAGCAGCAGCUUAGAAGGUCGCCACGCCAGCAGAAAGGGGCAGUGAUAAGUUGAAGGCUCCACAAAGAGGGGAGUUUCAUUCUAGAAUCUAAAAUCUAUAUAACAAUUAUAGAAUACAAAGUUUAUAUAACAUGAUGCAAACAAACGAAUCAGAGACACGUAAUGAGAAGAAACUUAUUAAAAUGUUCCUUACAACUACAUGUUUAUUGUAUGCAAUAAUAGUAACCAUGGCUGUGUUGUUUAUAGAGAUUGAAAAUGUGACGUCAUUCAGGGGUAAAACCGCAAAGGAUUCUGGGAGGUGGUGGUAAGAGGUACUAGCGGGCACUGGCUUUCAAUAGAAAUCAGUUAAACAGCGAUAAAAAAGAAACAUAAAAUGGCAAGAAGCUGUUGUAUUAUUAACUGCACAAGCCGGGCGAACGACAGCCGCGUGAAGUCGACGGGAAAUGCGUUUGGUUUUUAUCAGAUUCCGGCGUGAAAGAGAAAUUGUCCAAGCCAUGUCUCCGAAGUCACGAAGAGGCGACGGAUGGCCUGGAUUGCCGCUAUCCUAAUACCUAAUAUAACGUUCGAAAACACUCCACCUCACAUGUUAGUCUGCUCCAAGCAUUUCCACAAAGGCAAACCAGCCUACGAAAUGCUGGAAUGCGAUCCAGACUGGGCAUAUAAUAUAAUAUAUUAUAUAUAAUAAUUGCCACGUUUAUGCAGACGAUUUGUGAGACAGGUAAACUUACCGUUGUUCGUACGAUGGUCUUGUGUUCUACACGGUGCAUUUCAAGGUCCUGCACCCAUCCAUCGGUAAACUGUACCUGGGCUUGUUGCAAUGACCUGAAGUUACUAAAAACUUCAUGAGUGUAUGCACUCACUCCAAGAACCUUAUAAUUAUAAAUCUGAGCGUGGUGAAAGUUGGCCAGUACGCUGACGUCUUUUAUCCACUCUGUGUGCUCGUAAGGGUCUGACCCUUUCACUCCUUUGAUAUUUUCCUCGUACCUUUUCUUUGCCUUUUCGUCGAGUCUGUCUCUGUACGGACCGGCUUUGUUGUCCUUCAUUUGUACAUCCUUUUUUUGGUGAGGAAAGAAAAAGCAAGAAGGUAUUGGAACCGGAGAAUAAACGUUUUGCGGUGCUGCAAAUGCUUGCAUUUAAUGCGGUUCUUUGAAUGUUUUUCCCAUCACCUCCCGGCAUGCAACGCGCGAAAGUCACGUGGUCUGUCAAUCUCUAUUGUCUAUAUUUUGCAGGGCACUCCGGACCCCUUGUCUGAACACAGAGGCCAGUCCAGCCCAGCAUUUCCUGAGACUGUAGUUCCUAAAACAGGAUCGGUA